This 253-nucleotide ribosomal RNA is filed under the name uncultured bacterium. RNAcentral describes it as "partial 16S ribosomal RNA". It matches the Rfam family "Bacterial small subunit ribosomal RNA", at positions 524 to 776 of the family's 1533-position model. The record is from RNAcentral.
UACGGGGGGAGCAAGCGUUGUUCGGAUUUACUGGGCGUAAAGGGCGCGUAGGCGGCGCAACAAGUCACUUGUGAAAUCUCCGGGCUUAACUCGGAGCGGCCAAGUGAUACUGUCGGGCUAGAGUGCAGAAGGGGCAACUGGAAUUCUCGGUGUAGCGGUGAAAUGCGUAGAUAUCGAGAGGAACACCUGCGGCGAAGGCGGGUUGCUGGGCUGACACUGACGCUGAGGCGCGAAAGCCAGGGGAGCGAACGGG